UACGGGGGGAGCAAGCGUUGUUCGGAUUUACUGGGCGUAAAGGGCGCGUAGGCGGUCACGACAAGUCAGUUGUGAAAUCUCCGGGCUUAACUCGGAACGGUCAACUGAUACUGUCGGACUAGAGUGCAGAAGGGGCAACUGGAAUUCUCGGUGUAGCGGUGAAAUGCGUAGAUAUCGAGAGGAACACCUGCGGCGAAGGCGGGUUGCUGGGCUGACACUGACGCUGAGGCGCGAAAGCCAGGGGAGCAAACGGG
Molecule: ribosomal RNA, 254 nt
Filed under: uncultured bacterium
Lineage: Bacteria
Description: partial 16S ribosomal RNA
Rfam family: Bacterial small subunit ribosomal RNA
Source: RNAcentral